CAGAGGCCCCAAGCGUUACUGAGAAUCACUGGGUUUAAAGGGUGCGUAGGUGGCGCGUUAAGUCCGUUGUGAAAGCCCUGGGCUCAACCCAGGAACUGCUUCGGAUACUGGCGCGCUUGAGGCUAGUAGGGGUCACUGGAACUGACGGUGGAGCGGUGAAAUGCGUAGAUAUCGUCAGGAACGCCAAUGGUGAAGACAGGUGACUGGGCUAGUUCUGACACUGAGGCACGAAAGCGUGGGGAGCGAACGGGAUUAGAUACCCCGGUAGUCCACGCCCUAAACGAUGCAGACUAGACUGCAGCGGGUUACACCCCGUUGCGGUCGGAGUGAAAUUGUUAAGUCUGCCACCUGGGAAGUACGGUCGCAAGGCUA
This 372-nucleotide ribosomal RNA is filed under the name uncultured organism. Its description in RNAcentral is "bacterial SSU rRNA". It matches the Rfam family "Bacterial small subunit ribosomal RNA", at positions 526 to 896 of the family's 1533-position model. The record is from RNAcentral.